AACCUAGCACACCUGCGGUGUGUACCUGCGGAAGGAUCAUUCAUAAUCAGUGUUUAAUGGCACUCGAAAUCCAUUACCCACCUUGUGUGCAUUGUAAAAAGGGAGAGAGAGAUUUGGCUUCAGGUCGUUGUCUCCUCUCCUUUUUCAUUACAUACCCUUUGUUUCACUGAUCAGUCUACAAUCAAUGAGUAAAUACAAAAAACUCUAAUACAACUUUUAACAAUGGAUCUCAGAUCGGAA
This 240-nucleotide unclassified non-coding RNA is filed under the name soil metagenome. Its description in RNAcentral is "partial contains 5.8S ribosomal RNA, internal transcribed spacer 2, and large subunit ribosomal RNA". The record is from RNAcentral.